Long non-coding RNA from Hemicordylus capensis (graceful crag lizard), 519 nucleotides. RefSeq lists it as uncharacterized. NCBI's taxonomy places the organism in Eukaryota, Metazoa, Chordata, Lepidosauria, Squamata, Cordylidae. The record is from RefSeq and is a predicted model, not a curated record. The transcript is spliced from 5 exons.
GGGAGGCACAAGCACUCGCACCAAGGAGGGCUAAGCGGCGGAGGGAGGCAAGGAGGGAGGAGGGCGCGCCUCGGCUCGCCUGGCAGCGCCGCGCGGGCAGCGUGUGGGACCACGUGAGCCCCAAAGCUUCGAUGGAAUGUCUGAAGCAACUCUCAGUUUUCAAAGCAUCAUUAUAUGGCAAAACUGCACAGAUGGAUCACCAUGUGACUGUUCUGAAGCUGGCUUUGUUACAGCCCACAUGGAAGCUGAACAGACAAGACAUUGUGUUACGACUCAUCAUAGCUAGUAAAAAAACCCACGAAGCAAGGAAAACUAAUGUUUGAGACACAUUAAGCAAUGGUUCUCCAUUAAGAAGGCUCUGAAGGGCUUCACCACAGUCAACAGUUCUGCUGGGAAGCAGCUGGCCUUUGUCCUAGGGAAGAAACCGCCCCCCCCCGCAACACCCUCACGUGCCCCCCCAUCAAUAACACAGUUGCCAGGCAUGUCAGCUGGAACUGAAGCAUUUGGCUCCAAUGAAAC